This 253-nucleotide ribosomal RNA is filed under the name uncultured bacterium. RNAcentral describes it as "partial 16S ribosomal RNA". It matches the Rfam family "Bacterial small subunit ribosomal RNA", at positions 524 to 776 of the family's 1533-position model. The record is from RNAcentral.
UACGAAGGUCCCAAGCGUUAUCCGGAUUUAUUGGGUUUAAAGGGCGCGUAGGCGGCCAUUCAAGUCAGGGGUGAAAGCCUGUGGCUCAACCACAGAAUUGCCUUUGAUACUGUUUGGCUAGAGACCGGAAGAGGUAAGUGGAACUGCGAGUGUAGAGGUGAAAUUCGUAGAUAUUCGCAAGAACACCAGUGGCGAAGGCGGCUUACUGGUCCGGUUCUGACGCUGAGGCGCGAAAGCGUGGGGAGCAAACAGG